Molecule: unclassified non-coding RNA, 334 nt
Filed under: soil metagenome
Description: partial contains 5.8S ribosomal RNA, internal transcribed spacer 2, and large subunit ribosomal RNA
Rfam family: 5.8S ribosomal RNA (bases 1-120)
Source: RNAcentral
GAUGAAGAACGUAGCGAAAUGCGAUAAGUAAUGUGAAUUGCAGAAUUCAGUGAAUCAUCGAAUCUUUGAACGCACAUUGCGCCCGCCAGUAUUCUGGCGAGCAUGCCUGUUCGAGCGUCAUUUCAACCAUCAAGCCCCAGGCUUGUGUUGGAGCCCUGCGGCUGCCGCAGCCUCCCAAAACCAGUGGCGGGCUCGCUAUCACACCGAGUGCAGUAGUUUACUCUUCGCUCAGGGCGUGUGGCGGGUGCUAGCCGUGAAACCCCCAGCUUCUCAAGGUUGACCUCGGAUCAGGUAGGAAUACCCGCUGAACUUAAGCAUAUCAAUAAGCGGAGGA